UUGCACAUGCGCAUUGAGGAUAAUACCUGGGAUCUUUGCUUUUGCGGCUUUGCAUGCGCAGACGUGUGGAAAAACUAAAAGUGACAGUAGUAGUAAGUAAAUGAGCAAGCUAGACUGAUUUUUUGUCUCUUCGCAAGGUUUACAGUAAGUUUGAGACAGAAUAUUGUUACAGGAGUAGAGCAGCUCCUUUCAGGAAUAGCUCAGUACGUAGGUUGUGUCCGUAGCGGGCGAGAGAGAGAGAGCGGUGAGGCUAGCGACCGCAUAGGAGAGUUAGCUAGUUAGUUAGCCUGUUAGCAGUAUGCUCUGUAGAAGUGAAUGUAUGUGCACUUCAGGCUGUUUGUCGGGAAAUGAAUGCUACAACUCCUCAAGAACCAAGUUCCUGCGUCUUCCCUUUGCAUCCCAACUGCAGUCCAGACAUGAGUCGGGAAGAUUAACAACACUGAAACAGACAGGAAAGAGAAAGGUGAAGAUGUUCAGGCAGAGAGCAGCAAAAUGCAGAAGUCUUUCAGCACAGGAAACACAGGCACAAAAAGAGAGAUUUGCUACUGCUUCUGUCAUGAAAAGAGGUGAAACGAUGGGAACAGACAUUACCGUCGGAGGAAGACGGGUUAGCAGGCAGGCGGCAGGAUAUCCCAUCACAUUAGAACUUCUGCUGCACCCACUUCCUUCAUCUCUCCCCAGCAGCUGGAUCCAG
Long non-coding RNA from Seriola aureovittata, 694 nucleotides. RefSeq lists it as uncharacterized. The record is from RefSeq and is a predicted model, not a curated record. NCBI's taxonomy places the organism in Eukaryota, Metazoa, Chordata, Actinopteri, Carangiformes, Carangidae. The transcript has 3 exons.